This 499-nucleotide ribosomal RNA is filed under the name uncultured bacterium. RNAcentral's name for it is "partial 16S ribosomal RNA". It matches the Rfam family "Bacterial small subunit ribosomal RNA", at positions 28 to 507 of the family's 1533-position model. The record is from RNAcentral.
GACGAACGCUGGCGGCGUGCUUAACACAUGCAAGUCGAACGGGCCUGUCUUCUUUUUUGGGGGUGGGUUGAGUGGCGAACGGGUGAGUAUCACGUGAGUAACCUGCCCUUCGGUCCUGGAUAACCGCUUGAAAGGGCGGCUAAUACGGGGUGGUCCGGUUGGUCCGCAUGGGCUGGUCGGGCUAGAUUCACUGUUUUUGGUGUUUCGGCGUGGGAUGGGCUCGCGGCCUAUCAGCUUGUUGGUGGGGUGAUGGCCUACCAAGGCGGUGACGGGUAGCCGGCCUGAGAGGGUGGGCGGCCACACUGGGACUGAGAUACGGCCCAGACUCCUGCGGGAGGCAGCAGUGGGGGGUAUUGCACAAUGGGCGGAAGCCUGAUGCAGCGACGUCGCGUGAGGGAUGGAGGCCUUCGGGUUGUGAACCUCUGUUUCCGGUGGUGAAGGCCCUGUCCGUGUGGUGGGGUUGACGGUAGCCGGGGAUGAAGCGCCGGCUAACUACGUG